AACGAACGCUGGCGGCAUGCCUAAUACAUGCAAGUCGAACGAGAUCUUCGGAUCUAGUGGCGCACGGGUGCGUAACGCGUGGGAAUCUGCCCUUGGGUUCGGAAUAACUUCUGGAAACGGAAGCUAAUACCGGAUGAUGACGUAAGUCCAAAGAUUUAUCGCCCAAGGAUGAGCCCGCGUAGGAUUAGCUAGUUGGUGGGGUAAAGGCCCACCAAGGCGACGAGCCUUAGCUGGUCUGAGAGGAUGAUCAGCCACACUGGGACUGAGACACGGCCCAGACGCCUACGGGAGGCAGCAGUAGGGAAUAUUGGACGAUGGGCGAGAGACUGAUCCAGCCAUGCCGCGUGAGUGAUGAAGGCCUUAGGGUUGUAAAGCUCUUUUACCCGGGAUGAUAAUGACGGUACCGGGAGAAUAAGCUCCGGCUAACUCCGUG
This 433-nucleotide ribosomal RNA is filed under the name uncultured bacterium. RNAcentral's name for it is "partial 16S ribosomal RNA". It matches the Rfam family "Bacterial small subunit ribosomal RNA", at positions 29 to 507 of the family's 1533-position model. The record is from RNAcentral.